This 77-nucleotide transfer RNA is filed under the name Gammaproteobacteria bacterium. RNAcentral describes it as "tRNA-Arg". It matches the Rfam family "tRNA". From Rfam's summary of the family: Transfer RNA (tRNA) molecules are approximately 80 nucleotides in length. Their secondary structure includes four short double-helical elements and three loops (D, anti-codon, and T loops). The record is from RNAcentral. Lineage: Bacteria; Pseudomonadati; Pseudomonadota; Gammaproteobacteria. RNAcentral also lists the same sequence under 1 other name.
GCGCCCGUAGCUCAGCUGGAUAGAGUGUCGCCCUCCGAAGGCGAAGGUCACUGGUUCGAAUCCAGUCGGGCGCGCCA